GACGAACGCUGGCGGCGUGCUUAACACAUGCAAGUCGAACGGAAAGGCCCCUUUUGGGGUACUCGAGUGGCGAACGGGUGAGUAACACGUUAGUAACCUGCCCUUGACUUCUGGAUAACUUCAGUAAACUGGGUCUAAUACCGGAUAGGAAUCCUUGCUGCAUGGUGGGGGUUGUAAAGCUUCCGCGGUUUUGGUUGUACUGGCGGCUUAUGAGCUUGUUGGUUGGAUAGUUGCUUACCAAGGCUUUUAUGGGUAGCCGGACUGAGGGGGCGACCGGCCACAUUGAGAAUGAGAAACGGCCAAGACUCGUACGGGAGGCAGCAGUGGGGAAAAAUGAAAAAUGGGGGGAAGCCUGAAGCAGCAACGCCGCGUGCGGGAUGACGGCCUUCGGGUUGUAAAAAGCUUUCAGCAGGGGGGAAGCUUGUGGUGACGGUACCUGCAGAAGAAGCACCGGCUAACUACGUG
RNAcentral lists this ribosomal RNA (465 nucleotides) under uncultured bacterium. Its description in RNAcentral is "partial 16S ribosomal RNA". It matches the Rfam family "Bacterial small subunit ribosomal RNA", at positions 28 to 507 of the family's 1533-position model. The record is from RNAcentral.